UAAUACGGAGGGUGCAAGCGUUAAUCGGAAUUACUGGGCGUAAAGCGUGCGUAGGUGGUUUGUUAAGUUAGAUGUGAAAGCCCUGGGCUCAACCUAGGAACUGCAUUUAAAACUGGCAAACUAGAGUAUAGGAGAGGAAAGUGGAAUUUCAGGUGUAGCGGUGAAAUGCGUAGAUAUCUGAAGGAACAUCAAUGGCGAAGGCAGCUUUCUGGACUAAUACUGACACUGAGGUACGAAAGCGUGGGUAGCAAACAGGAUUAGAUACCCUGGUAGUCCACGCCGUAAACGAUGACAACUAGCCGUUGGGAGGAUUUACCUCUUAGUGGCGAAGCUAACGCGUUAAGUUGUCCGCCUGGGGAGUACGGCCGCAAGGUUA
Molecule: ribosomal RNA, 376 nt
Filed under: uncultured Gammaproteobacteria bacterium
Lineage: Bacteria; Pseudomonadati; Pseudomonadota; Gammaproteobacteria
Description: bacterial SSU rRNA
Rfam family: Bacterial small subunit ribosomal RNA
Source: RNAcentral